CUUUUGCAUGUCCUCUCAUGUAAUCCUUAGAGGAUCCAGUGAAAAAACUCUAACUGGUCCAACUUCACAGAUUAGAAUUCAUGGCUUAGAGAAGUUAAUUUGCUUAUGAUUACAAAGAAAAAUGAAACAGAAGUAAAGCCUAGGGAGUUGGGCACUAAGAGCCCAUUCUCUUUCCAAGUUAACACUCCAUUCCAUUUCUAUCUUCUCCCAUUUUUACCAUCAGAAAAAUGACCUUCACCCAGAAAAUGAGAGAGAAACAUCUGGAAGAAGAAUCUAAUGGAAGAAUUUUAUCAUCUGUAAACUAUGCCCCAACAAGUUGUUUUUUAAAAAAAGAAGGCGACUUGAAAGCCAAGACAGGUGAAGAGGCCUUCCUGUCUGUCAGCAUGCAUUGAGAUGAGAGAAGGCACUAUUCCAAGAAUGCAAGCCAUGGAGGAGUAUCCUCUGGACCUUCUUCUGUUUAGUAAGUAAGACUACUUUUCUUUGUUUUUAAAAAAUUAUUGUAUAUAUUUCUUACUUUUCCUGUUUCUUUAUUGUCUAUUCCUAGGCUACCUCUUUAACUAACAUGUAUAUUAUGCUGUAAACAUGGGUAAAAUGUGUGAUAUUCCUACCCACUCUACUUUAAAUUUCUGUAAUGAGCAACCCAUAAAACACUGUAUGUUAACUAACUGGAAUUAAA
RNAcentral lists this long non-coding RNA (676 nucleotides) under Ailuropoda melanoleuca (giant panda). RNAcentral describes it as "lncRNA (ENSAMEG00000030220.1)". Lineage: Eukaryota; Metazoa; Chordata; Mammalia; Carnivora; Ursidae. The record is from RNAcentral.